AGAUUGAACGCUGGCGGCAUGCCUUACACAUGCAAGUCGAACGCGAAAGCGGGGCAACCCGCAAGUAGAGUGGCGAACGGGUGAGUAACACAUCGGAACGUACCCAGUAGCGGGGGGAUAACCUCUCGAAAGAGAAGCUAAUACCGCAUACGACCUACGGGUGAAAGAGGGGGAUCGCAAGACCUCUCACUAUUGGAGCGGCCGAUGUCGGAUUAGCUAGUUGGCGGGGUAACGCCCACCAAGGCUACGAUCCGUAGCUGGUCUGAGAGGACGACCAGCCACACUGGAACUGAGACACGGUCCAGACUCCUACGGGAGCAGCAGUGGGGAAUUUGGACAAGUGGGCGCAAGCCUGAUCCAGCCAUGCCGCGUGAGUGAAGAGGCCUUGGGUUAGUAAGCUCUUCGGCGGGACGAACGGUCCGUAGUUAACACCGUCGACUAAUCGACGGUACCCGUAGAACGAAGCCGACCGACGUAAC
Molecule: ribosomal RNA, 479 nt
Filed under: uncultured soil bacterium
Lineage: Bacteria
Description: bacterial SSU rRNA
Rfam family: Bacterial small subunit ribosomal RNA
Source: RNAcentral